RNAcentral lists this ribosomal RNA (404 nucleotides) under uncultured bacterium. Its description in RNAcentral is "partial 16S ribosomal RNA". It matches the Rfam family "Bacterial small subunit ribosomal RNA", at positions 28 to 526 of the family's 1533-position model. The record is from RNAcentral.
GAUGAACGCUGACAGCAUGCUUAACACAUGCAAGUCAACUGUGGCGGACGGCUGCGUAACGCGUAAAGCACUUGCCUCACAGAUAGGGAAAACAUUUGGCAACGAAUGCUAAUACGUGAUACUUGGAGAGCGCUUUGCGUCCCCUUAGCUAGUUGGAGAGGUAACGGCUCACCAAGGCGAGGAUGGGUAGACGGCCUGCGAGUGUGAUCGGCCACAAGGGGACUGGGACACGGCCCUUAGUGAUACGGGAGGCAGUAGUGGGGAAUUGUGGACAAUGGACCAAAGUCUGAUGAAGCAAUUCUGUGUGCACAGUGAAGUUUUCGGAAUGUAAAGUGCUUUAAGUUGGGCAGCGUUACCAACAGAAGAAGCGACGGCUAAAUACGUGCCAGCAGCCGCGGUAAUAC